Molecule: small RNA, 1082 nt
Filed under: Rattus norvegicus (Norway rat)
Lineage: Eukaryota; Metazoa; Chordata; Mammalia; Rodentia; Muridae
Description: uncharacterized LOC108349085
Source: RNAcentral
CUAGGCAAGCUCUCUACCGCUGAGCUAAAUCCCCAACCCCCUGUGUUAAGUUUUUAAAAAUCAGAAACUGAAAUUAUGUGAUAUCACUAAGAAACAAGUGUAAACCUAAUUUUCAAAUAGCUCCGUGGUAGAACAUGUGAAUGUUUGUACAAGGCUCCAAGUGCAAUGCCACCAGAGUAAGAACUGUGACUGGACUUCAGAAAGUAACGCUGUCUGAGUGAAGUCAGCCCACUCCAGAUCAGCGUCUCCCCAUAGCACGUUCAUGACGCCUGUAGACUGUAGUAAGCCCAAACAUCCUAAUGGCUAAACCACAACUUCUUCCUCAACACUCUAUGUCCAGUAACUCCAGACCUGGAAAAACCUGGGGGAGCAGCAGAGAGGAAGAGUGAGAAGCUGGGCAACAAAGACAAGACGGAGACAACAGCAAGUCUUAAGAUUUUCUCUGUAUUAACAUAUUAAUAGCAAGUUAAUGGGAUUCACUAUGGUAUUUUUAUAUGGACACACCUUGUGUGUCCAUAAUUUCUACCGCUUUUCUUUUCCAUCCCCACUUUCAGUCACCAAUGAUCUUUCUUUCAGUCUCAGGCGUACAUCCCAUCUCACCCCAACUGUUUUCUGAACGCUAACCCAUGAAGAACUAAAGAGCUGAGGACAGAAAGGCAUGGGGCUCCCAGCGCUUAGGAAAUGGAGGCUUGAGGACCAGUUAAAGUUAAAGGCCAUUCUCUGCUACACGGUGACUUUAAGGUAAACGUGAUGCUUCCUGUUUGGCCUACUUCUCUGCAUACAACCCAACCAACAGCCUAGCACCGGUGCCUGGCAUUUCAGACUCUGUCCGACUGGCCAUGGGAAUGCACAUCUGUAAUUCUAGUCCUUGGAAAGAGAAGCAGAAGAAUCACUACAGGUAUAGCACAGCCGAGGGACACUACAUCUUUAAGUCACUUAACGAGCACAGGUGUGACAACUGCCAUCUUCUACAGAACUGAGAAAGCAAGGACACAGCAGCCACAGAAACCCUGCAAUCUCAGCCCUGGAGAUGGAAGCAAAGUGAACAUGUGAGGCCCGCCUGGGUGUAUCAUACCUCGUCC